This is a long non-coding RNA of Anas platyrhynchos (mallard), 1061 nucleotides long. RefSeq lists it as uncharacterized. Lineage: Eukaryota; Metazoa; Chordata; Aves; Anseriformes; Anatidae. The record is from RefSeq and is a predicted model, not a curated record.
CUGAGCCGCGGGCGGUCCCCCCUCGGCGGCGGCGGCGGCCCCGUGCGCGCAGCGCCCCAGCGGCCGGGCCGGGGGCAGAGCGGAAGGGGGGCGGCAGCACAGCGCAGAGCCCCGCGGCCAGCACCUGCCGCCCGCCUCCUCGGCACGCUGAUUGGUGGAGGACGGCGCCGCCUUCGUUCAGAUUGGACGCCAGGAGGUUGAGAGGCAGCGGGAGCAGCCUGUAGAGAGGGCGGACGGCGAACAACAAGGCGAUGGCGGCCGUUGAUUGGGGGAAACGGUCCCGGCGAGGGCCCGCCUACCAACAGGAGGGCCGGCCGGUACAGCUCCUUCUCUACAGGCCACAGGCUUUACCUACACUUCAUUCCCACCCCGCUGUACCAGGGCCGUGUUUGAUGCAGUCCCGCUACAGCCCGAAUCCUGCCACAGCCCUGACACUGAGGUACAGCUCUGCCCCGCUCCGUCAGAGAUGCUACGGGUUGAGGGGAAUAGCUGAGGCUAUCUCCAGUCUCCAUCUCCAGCUGUCACCAUCACCACAGGACACAGGCGCUUUUCCCAACUGGCUGCAAGGACCAGAGAAGCCUGCCUGGAUAAAGAAGUAUCAAAUAAAGAAGUAUCAAGGGCAUUUUUAAAUUUAUGGUCUGCACAAGUUUUACUGGCUGGGAAGAGACAGGAAUUCCCAGAAUAGAAGGAAGAUCCUUCCCUUUUUUCAACAUUGGUUUUCUUGCUUCUUGAUUUUACCCAUUAAAUACUUAUUUUACCACAUCACACACUGGUUAUUUACUCCAGAAUUUCAGAACACAAAUUUGCAAGUAUGUAUGGUAGCUGGAUGAUGCUUCAUUUCCCAAUUUCCAACACUUAAAAAAAAAAAAAAAAAAAAAAAAACGCGAAUUGCUUCAUAUCCAAAGCCACACACUAGCUCACAUUAUAGCACAGUAAUUUUUCUAGCAGAGCUUUACGGUUUCAAAUCUGCAAGCCUAAAUUACGAAGCAUCUAAUUUGCAGUAAAAUUGUCCUAAUUCAUGCUAAAUAAACACAAACUCAGAACAGCAGACUGAAACCUAU